CCUGCAAUGAUUUGCCAAGAUGAAGCCGCGCGAUCGGGCCUUGUCAUAGUCACCAUACGAAACGGGAUAACGCCGCAUGCCCAAUAUUGAGCUGAUCGAAAGCUAUACUGACGAACUCAUUGCCAUCCGCCGCGACCUUCAUGCCCAUCCCGAAAUUGGUUUCGAGGAACAUCGCACAUCCGGCAUCGUCGCGGAAAAGCUCGCCGGCUGGGGCAUCGAGGUGCAUCGCGGCCUCGGCGGCAC
This 243-nucleotide unclassified non-coding RNA is filed under the name Hevea brasiliensis (rubber tree). The record is from RNAcentral. Lineage: Eukaryota; Viridiplantae; Streptophyta; Magnoliopsida; Malpighiales; Euphorbiaceae.